CACGUAGGGGGCAAGCGUUGUCCGGAUUUAUUGGGCGUAAAGAGCUCGUAGGUGGUUCGGUAAGUCGGGUGUGAAACCUCCAGGCUCAACCUGGAGACGCCACCCGAUACUGCUGUGACUGGAGUCCGGUAGGGGAGCGUGGAAUUCCUGGUGUAGCGGUGAAAUGCGCAGAUAUCAGGAGGAACACCAAUGGCGAAGGCAGCUCGCUGGAACGGUACUGACGCUGAGACGCGAAAGCGUGGGGAGCAAACAGG
Molecule: ribosomal RNA, 254 nt
Filed under: uncultured bacterium
Lineage: Bacteria
Description: partial 16S ribosomal RNA
Rfam family: Bacterial small subunit ribosomal RNA
Source: RNAcentral